GACGAACGCUGGCGGCGUGCUUAACACAUGCAAGUCGAACGGAAAGGCCCUGCUUUUGUGGGGUGCUCGAGUGGCGAACGGGUGAGUAACACGUGAGUAACCUGCCCUUGACUUUGGGAUAACUUCAGGAAACUGGGGCUAAUACCGGAUAGGAGCUCCUGCUGCAUGGUGGGGGUUGGAAAGUUUCGGCGGUUGGGGAUGGACUCGCGGCUUAUCAGCUUGUUGGUGGGGUAGUGGCUGACCAAGGCUUUGACGGGUAGCCGGCCUGAGAGGGUGACCGGCCACAUUGGGACUGAGAUACGGCCCAGACUCCUACGGGAGGCAGCAGUGGGGAAUAUUGCACAAUGGGCGGAAGCCUGAUGCAGCAACGCCGCGUGCGGGAUGACGGCCUUCGGGUUGUAAACCGCUUUCGCCUGUGACGAAGCGUGAGUGACGGUAAUGGGUAAAGAAGCACCGGCUAACUACGU
RNAcentral lists this ribosomal RNA (467 nucleotides) under uncultured bacterium. RNAcentral describes it as "partial 16S ribosomal RNA". It matches the Rfam family "Bacterial small subunit ribosomal RNA", at positions 28 to 506 of the family's 1533-position model. The record is from RNAcentral.